This 497-nucleotide ribosomal RNA is filed under the name uncultured bacterium. RNAcentral describes it as "partial 16S ribosomal RNA". It matches the Rfam family "Bacterial small subunit ribosomal RNA", at positions 30 to 507 of the family's 1533-position model. The record is from RNAcentral.
AAUGAACGCUGGCGGCGUGCCUAACACAUGCAAGUCGAGCGAACAGACCAGGAGCUUGGUCCUCUGAGGGUAGCGCGGGACGGGAGAGUAACACGUGGAUAGCAUACUUCUAAGACUGGGGGGAUAUCGGGAAAUAGGAGCUAUUACCGGAUAAUAUGUCGAACAGGAUGUAUCAAGAGUGAAAGACGGUCUUUGGGUCGGUAAUAGCUGAAUACGCGGCUCAUCAGUUAGUGGGUAAGGUAACGGCUUAGCAACGCUACGAGGCGUAGCCGACCUGAACGGGUGAUCAGCCAGACGGUAACUGAGACACGGUCGAGACUCCGACGGGAGGCAGCAGUAGGGAAUCUUCCGCGAUGGGCGAGAGCCUGACGGAGCAACACCGCGUGAGUGAAGAAGGUCUUCGGAUCGUAGAGCUCUGUUGUUAGGAAAGAAGAAAAGUGUAUGUAGCUAUGCACGUAAUGACGGUACCAAAACAAGAAGCCACGGCUAACUCCGUG